UGGAUUCUAAGUUUUAAGGUCAAGGAUAUUUAAAUAAUUUUCAUUCUCAAAACUAAAAAAAGAAACCCCAAACCCUUACUCACCUCCAUCGUUCCUCUCAACCCUUUCUCUUUCAUCUCCUCUCACUCCAACAUAUUUUCUGUCAUUCCUAUUGCCCCAAUUGAAAAAAAAAAAUCAGAAACCCUUGCCUAACCCUUGUCCUUU
Molecule: long non-coding RNA, 204 nt
Filed under: Vigna radiata
Lineage: Eukaryota; Viridiplantae; Streptophyta; Magnoliopsida; Fabales; Fabaceae
Description: long non-coding RNA (VRAD_LNC007159)
Source: RNAcentral